RNAcentral lists this ribosomal RNA (253 nucleotides) under uncultured bacterium. RNAcentral's name for it is "partial 16S ribosomal RNA". It matches the Rfam family "Bacterial small subunit ribosomal RNA", at positions 524 to 776 of the family's 1533-position model. The record is from RNAcentral.
GACAGAGGUGCCGAGCGUUGGGCGGAAUCACUGGGCUUAAAGCGUGUGUAGGCGGACCGUUAAGUACCUUGUGAAAUCCCCCGGCUCAACCGGGGAACGGCUGGGUAUACUGGCGGUCUUGAGCCAUCCAGGGGCAGUCGGAACAGACGGUGGAGCGGUGAAAUGCGUAGAUAUCGUCUGGAACGCCGAAGGUGAAAACAGACUGCUGGGGAUGCGCUGACGCUGAGACACGAAAGCCAGGGGAGCGAACGGG